Alosa sapidissima (American shad) is the source of this 1101-nucleotide long non-coding RNA. RefSeq lists it as uncharacterized. The transcript is spliced from 2 exons. The record is from RefSeq and is a predicted model, not a curated record. Lineage: Eukaryota; Metazoa; Chordata; Actinopteri; Clupeiformes; Clupeidae.
UUUUAGACGCACUGGCACUGUCUGUUGAGCUCCUGACCUGAUGAACCUUUCUCACAGUUGAACAAGUCCCUUAUAAUGACGUUUCCCGAACUUCCAACAUUGACCGGCAGAGAGCAGACGUCGUCUUGUUGCUGAUGUUGAUGUCCAAAGUCUGGUUUGUCUGUCAAUAACAUUCUUUGAAGAUGACAAAGAACAAAGAAAUGUAGGUGAAGAUCACCUUAUGUCAAAUGUUAAAAGUGUUUUCUUAUAUAUAUAAAAACUUCACAUGAAGUUUCCAGCCAGGGAAACAAAUGUUCUUGUGCAAAACAAGGACCUGGUAUAGGCCUAUGGAGAAGGGGGGCAACAUGGAGGCCUUUAGUGGUGUGAUUGUGAUUGUAACUUCUGGAAAUAAUAUAACCUACUCUGGUUUUCAUUAGCCUAUAUUAGCCUUAUAUUUGUUAACGGAUUGUCUAUGCUCUUUGGACAGCACAUCAGUGAAUGUCAGAGAGCUCAGGCUGUGUCCAUCUCCUCAGUUAUCUUUUACCUCUUAUUCCGUUCUUUUGGGCUCAUUAAAAAAAAUGUUGGUCCAGCCAAGUCCGGUCUAUGCGGUCACAGAAGACCAGUGCUAGGUAGCACGACACAAAGACAGCUUCUUCCCCCAAGCAGUCACUCUGUUGAACACUCAGAAACAGCCCCCACCCUUGCACUGAACAAAGUCAUCAACAUUGUUCUGCAUAUCUACCUCAUGUGUACUUCAAUCUUACAGUUACAAUAUUGUUAUUAAUACAUUAUCAUUGCACUGAACUGCCUUGCACUAUAUUUAGAUUUAAUCUUAAACCUCAGUCUACAGUAUAUGAUAUUGCACUAUUCCCACCCUCUUUUCAAUUGUAUAUUUCAUCUGGCCUGUGCCUGUUGAGGUGUCCACGACUUGGCAAGCUUGACAGGGACAACAAGGAGGCGGACAUCCCCAGCCGCAAUGUACAGAUGUAAAUAUUGUAUUUAUUCUUAUACUUAACCAUACUCCUGAAACGGGACACAGCUAAAAAUACUGUGAGUCAUUGUAUAAUUAUGCACGCCUAUGUUAGGUCUCUGUAUUUUUUCAGAUAAAAUAUCCUUUUUUCA